GUAGGUUUCAAUUGCUAGACUAAGCUAAGUAAACAAAAAUAUCACAGUAAAAAACAGUGUGCAAUAGACUCACAGCGUGUGAUUGUGGAGACUAAACUGUGCACAACAGUUAAUUUGUUUAAUUGUGGAAACAUGCGAUUUCUAUAAUAUUUCACGCCCCGUAAACUUAAUCUGCAAACGUUGUGUAAAAGCGAAGCACAUAAUUCAGUUGUUACAAUACAUAGUUUUUGGCAGUAUAUAAUUUAAUGAAACUUUUUUUAAAGCAACAAAAAGUACUUCGUGAAUUUAAGAAAAUUUUUAUGUGAUUGUUAAGUUUCUCCACCCACCCAUCCCACUAUCUUACAUCAUCUAUCCAUCCAUUCAUCCAUCCAUCCAUUCAUCCAUCCGUUCUCUUCCACUUAUCCAAUUCAGGAUUCCAAGAGUCUAUCCUAGCUACCAUGGGGCUAGAGGGUGUUUAUUAAUGCAAAUUGGACAUGUGUACAGCAUGGUGUAUUUUUUUUAAUAAAAUGUACUUCAUUGAACAGACAAGUGUGAAUAUAUUACAUGCAGAAAUGUUUACUUUGCCUUUAUCCUCUAUUAGGUUUCCAGCACAGCUAAGCAGGUCACAUUCUGUGGCUCAGUCAUUAACCAAAGAAGUGAUUCUCUUGCAGGACCAUCUAACUGCACAUGUGCCAAGGCGUAACAAAAAAGCUUGGCUUUUUGAAAAUGGACAUAUAAAAUCUGCACUGGAGUUUAGCUGUGAUUGGGACUCAGACAAAGUAAUGCAGGCAAUAAGGACUGCCUUCCAGCAAGUUGUUGAAGGAUGCAGGCUACAGAUUUUGCUGGCAUGCCACACCAAACUAGUUGAGCCAUCACUCACUUCCAAACAGACUUUGAAUGGAGACCUUGUAAGAAAAAACUGUGUCAUCAGAAGUGAAUUUAUGUCAGACCUGACAAGGUUUUUUUUUUUUUUACGUGAGGACAAUGAAUCAUUGAAAGUGAUGUCUCUUUGGAACAUAUUCUUGUUUUCUGCACUGGAUGUGACAGCAUUCCAGCCCUGGGUUUUCUCCAAAGCCAAGCCUUGAGUUCAUCACUAACUGCAGAUUUCCAGUGACCAAUACUUGUGAAAAUAUCCUUUGUAUCCCAGUUCAUGUAGUGUACACUACUUUCAAAUCAGACAUGGAUUUUGCAAUACAGAAUUCACCAGGAUUUGGAAGAGCAU
Molecule: long non-coding RNA, 1201 nt
Filed under: Oreochromis niloticus (Nile tilapia)
Lineage: Eukaryota; Metazoa; Chordata; Actinopteri; Cichliformes; Cichlidae
Description: lncRNA (ENSONIG00000037293.1)
Source: RNAcentral